GGGGGAAUAUUGCACAAUGGGCGCAAGCCUGAUGCAGCCAUGCCGCGUGUAUGAAGAAGGCCUUCGGGUUGUAAAGUACUUUCAGCGGGGGGGAAGGUGUUGAGGUUAAUAACCUCAGCAAUUGACGUUACCCGCAGAAGAAGCACCGGCUAACUCCGUGCCAGCAGCCGCGGUAAUACGGAGGGGGCAAGCGUUAAUCGGAAUUCCUGGGCGUAAAGCGCACGCAGGCGGUCUGUCAAGUCGGAUGUGAAAUCCCCGGGCUCAACCUGGGAACUGCAUCCGAAACUGGCAGGCUUGAGUCUUGUAGAGGGGGGUAGAAUUCCAGGUGUAGCGGUGAAAUGCGUAGAGAUCUGGAGGAAUACCGGUGGCGAAGGCGGCCCCCUGGACAAAGACUGACGCUCAGGUGCGAAAGCGUGGGGAGCAAACA
RNAcentral lists this ribosomal RNA (427 nucleotides) under uncultured bacterium. RNAcentral's name for it is "partial 16S ribosomal RNA". It matches the Rfam family "Bacterial small subunit ribosomal RNA", at positions 355 to 774 of the family's 1533-position model. The record is from RNAcentral.